This 412-nucleotide ribosomal RNA is filed under the name uncultured bacterium. Its description in RNAcentral is "bacterial SSU rRNA". It matches the Rfam family "Bacterial small subunit ribosomal RNA", at positions 355 to 775 of the family's 1533-position model. The record is from RNAcentral.
UCGAGGAUCUUCGGCAAUGGGCGCAAGCCUGACCGAGCGACGCCGCGUGUGCGAUGAAGGCCUUCGGGUUGUAAAGCACUGUCGAGGGGGAGGAAGCCCGCAAGGGUUGACCUAGCCCUGGAGGAAGCACGGGCUAAGUUCGUGCCAGCAGCCGCGGUAAGACGAACCGUGCGAACGUUGUUCGGAAUCACUGGGCUUAAAGGGCGCGUAGGCGGGCCGCCAGGUCGGGGGUGAAAUGCCGCAGCUUAACUGUGGAAGUGCCCCCGAUACCGGCGGCCUCGAGGGGGGUAGGGGCGUGUGGAACUUCCGGUGGAGCGGUGAAAUGCGUAGAUAUCGGAAGGAACGCCGGUGGCGAAAGCGACACGCUGGACCCUCUCUGACGCUGAGGCGCGAAAGCCAGGGGAGCAAACGG